Molecule: ribosomal RNA, 993 nt
Filed under: Escherichia coli
Lineage: Bacteria; Pseudomonadati; Pseudomonadota; Gammaproteobacteria; Enterobacterales; Enterobacteriaceae
Description: partial 23S ribosomal RNA
Rfam family: Bacterial large subunit ribosomal RNA
Source: RNAcentral
GAAUCCAUAGGUUAAUGAGGCGAACCGGGGGAACUGAAACAUCUAAGUACCCCGAGGAAAAGAAAUCAACCGAGAUUCCCCCAGUAGCGGCGAGCGAACGGGGAGCAGCCCAGAGCCUGAAUCAGUGUGUGUGUUAGUGGAAGCGUCUGGAAAGGCGCGCGAUACAGGGUGACAGCCCCGUACACAAAAAUGCACAUGCUGUGAGCUCGAUGAGUAGGGCGGGACACGUGGUAUCCUGUCUGAAUAUGGGGGGACCAUCCUCCAAGGCUAAAUACUCCUGACUGACCGAUAGUGAACCAGUACCGUGAGGGAAAGGCGAAAAGAACCCCGGCGAGGGGAGUGAAAAAGAACCUGAAACCGUGUACGUACAAGCAGUGGGAGCACAGAGCAAUCUGUGUGACUGCGUACCUUUUGUAUAAUGGGUCAGCGACUUAUAUUCUGUAGCAAGGUUAACCGAAUAGGGGAGCCGAAGGGAAACCGAGUCUUAACUGGGCGUUAAGUUGCAGGGUAUAGACCCGAAACCCGGUGAUCUAGCCAUGGGCAGGUUGAAGGUUGGGUAACACUAACUGGAGGACCGAACCGACUAAUGUUGAAAAAUUAGCGGAUGACUUGUGGCUGGGGGUGAAAGGCCAAUCAAACCGGGAGAUAGCUGGUUCUCCCCGAAAGCUAUUUAGGUAGCGCCUCGUGAAUUCAUCUCCGGGGGUAGAGCACUGUUUCGGCAAGGGGGUCAUCCCGACUUACCAACCCGAUGCAAACUGCGAAUACCGGAGAAUGUUAUCACGGGAGACACACGGCGGGUGCUAACGUCCGUCGUGAAGAGGGAAACAACCCAGACCGCCAGCUAAGGUCCCAAAGUCAUGGUUAAGUGGGAAACGAUGUGGGAAGGCCCAGACAGCCAGGAUGUUGGCUUAGAAGCAGCCAUCAUUUAAAGAAAGCGUAAUAGCUCACUGGUCGAGUCGGCCUGCGCGGAAGAUGUAACGGGGCUAAACCAUG